UGCAUUCAAUCAGAAGCCUCAUUUAAGGGCUGGCUACCACGGAGGAAGGAUAUCUACCUGGAGAUCCCUCCUUUUGGAAUUUUUCAUAAGCCCUAAUCCUUGGGAUGGACCCUGCUGGCCCAGCUGGCUGCAUGGGAGACCAGAAGGAGCAUUGCUUCUGACUGGGUCCUAGGCAUCAAGCAGAUCAUACAGCUGCCAUCACCACUUAGAAUAAUGUGAACAAGAGGUAAACUGUAGAGGCAGCAGACUAUAGAAAGUCUCUCAUAGUUCCCCUUGCAUGAGGGGCUGUACGACUCCUGCACGCAAUGAGGAAGGCAGAAUAUUGCAAGUUCUCUGCUUAAUGUUUUGACUCAUCCAUGUAACAGAGAAAUGAAGAAUUUUAACGUGGUCCAAAGCAAGAGCUCUGGAUGAACUAUAAUCUGCAAUUGCUUCAGAUACUCCAGCACCUUUGCCAGCAUAUCCUCGUCCAGAUACUGCCUGUUUUGCGUGUCAUCGGUGUCCCCAGCCAUGGAGAGCCUUUUGCUGAGUGAAGCCAGCCUCGCAGCCUCCUGUGGU
This is a long non-coding RNA of Tympanuchus pallidicinctus (lesser prairie-chicken), 555 nucleotides long. RefSeq lists it as uncharacterized. Lineage: Eukaryota; Metazoa; Chordata; Aves; Galliformes; Phasianidae. The transcript is spliced from 4 exons. The record is from RefSeq and is a predicted model, not a curated record.